UAAACGACUCUCGGCAACGGAUAUCUCGGCUCACGCAUCGAUGAAGAACGUAGCAAAAUGCGAUACUUGGUGUGAAUUGCAGAAUCCCGUGAACCAUCGAGUUUUUGAACGCAAGUUGCGCCCGAAGCCUUGUGGCCGAGGGCUCGUCUGCCUGGGCGUCAAGC
This 164-nucleotide ribosomal RNA is filed under the name Bidens alba. Its description in RNAcentral is "5.8S ribosomal RNA". It matches the Rfam family "5.8S ribosomal RNA". Rfam says of the family: 5.8S ribosomal RNA (5.8S rRNA) is a component of the large subunit of the eukaryotic ribosome. It is transcribed by RNA polymerase I as part of the 45S precursor that also contains 18S and 28S rRNA. The record is from RNAcentral. Lineage: Eukaryota; Viridiplantae; Streptophyta; Magnoliopsida; Asterales; Asteraceae.